CAGUAGCCGCGGUAAUACGGAGGGUGCGAGCGUUAAUCGGAAUAACUGGGCGUAAAGGGCACGCAGGCGGUGACUUAAGUGAGGUGUGAAAGCCCCGGGCUUAACCUGGGAAUUGCAUUUCAUACUGGGUCGCUAGAGUACUUUAGGGAGGGGUAGAAUUCCACGUGUAGCGGUGAAAUGCGUAGAGAUGUGGAGGAAUACCGAAGGCGAAGGCAGCCCCUUGGGAAUGUACUGACGCUCAUGUGCGAAAGCGUGGGGAGCAAACAGGAUUAGAUACCUCUGUAGUCCCUGUCUCUUAUAC
Molecule: ribosomal RNA, 301 nt
Filed under: uncultured bacterium
Lineage: Bacteria
Description: partial 16S ribosomal RNA
Rfam family: Bacterial small subunit ribosomal RNA
Source: RNAcentral